CAUUGCAGCACCCCAUAGCACCCUCAACCUGAAACCACCACCCCCCCGCAACAGCCGUGCAGUGCAGCCCUGGAUAGGACACUUAGCCCACCUCACUGUUGCCAGCAAUACAGUCUGGGAUAGUUUCCCCAACAGGCUCCCCGCCGGGGGCAGUGCAGCCCCGGUUAGGGCCCCCAAACCACCCCCGGGUGCAGGCAGCACAGCCCCAGAUAGCACACCUAACCAGCCACCCAAGGUGGGCAGUGACGCCUGAGAUAGGGCCCCCAACCCGUCCCAGGCCAAGGGCAGUGCAGCCCUGGAUAGCGCACUUACCCCGACGCUUUUCUACACUCUGGCCGGUUGCAGUGUCCAUCGCUGCCACCAACCGCAGCGGGCAAGGCAAGCCAGCGAGGCAAGGCGAGGCAAGCCGGCGAGGUGGUGAGCCAGGGAGGCCAGCCACAGCCCGGUAGGCUGCAGCCUCCAGCAUGCAGUGGCUGGCACCUCCUACUCCAAGCUGGCAAUGGAGCAGCUAUGAAGUCAGAUGCCGACGAGGCUGGAAUAGUGCAACUCUAGCUCUUAACAUGCUUUAUAUACCGAGAUUAUAAACUACAUGUUCUGAUUGGAUGAGAGGAAAACACUAGGCCUACUCUGAUUGGACUUUAUUGUCACGUUCUGAUUGGUUAGCCUAAGACUUGUUCUGAUCCAAUCAGAACAUGAAAAUAACGUCCAAUCAGAGUAGGCGUAGAUGUUUCUCUCAUCCAAUCAGAACGUGAAGUCCGAGAACCAGGCCUGCACAACCCCCCAGUAUAUAAGGUAUGCUAAGGGGGCGUCGCGCUGUUGCAGGCUAUCGUGUGUUAACCUGUACUUCUGCCGCAGAGUUUGGAGAAAGCGGCAGCAGAUUGUGCUGCCGCAGGCUGGAGCCUGGAACCUGGAGCCCUGGAGCCUUGAAUGGUGUGUGGUGGCAAUGGAGAGAGGCAGCUGGCAGUGACAGCUGCUCCGUGCUUGGCUACAGGAAGGAAAGAAGGAGAAAGCACCUACCAUAGGCUGGAGGCUAGAGCCUGCAGGACUGCGGCUGGCCUCGCUGGCUCGCCUCCCUGGCUGGCCUCGCUGUGGUUGGUGGCAGCGACGGAUACUGCAGCUGGCCAGAGUGUAGAAAGGCAAUGGGGUAGGAGCGCAGUCCUGGUGGGCCCAGCGGUUCCUGUGGAUUGGAGCCAGGCAGUGUGAUGUUACCAGUCACCACUCCAGGUCCCAGUUCCUGGCCCGCUUGAGCCAAAAGGAGAGGCUGGACUUUGGAGGGUGGAUAUGAGUGCCUUCACUGAGACUGGCCCCUGCCACCCAGUGGCCAGGAUGACAAGCAAGGUAAGCUGUCAUCAGUUGGAGGUAAGCAGAAGACAGUAGAGAGUACAGAGCCCUGGACUGUGACUCAGAGGAUGAGCACCAGAUCCAGUUUGCUGUGCCACAGUGCCUUCUCCAAAGUCACUCACAGAAGGCAUCCCACUCAACCUCACCUUGGGGUAAAUCAAAAUAGUCCUCCUUCUGAAGCUACCGGGUAAAACGGUGGUAGCUGUGCAGCUGCUGCUGAUCAACAGGCUCCAGAAACAGCAGCAGGAGGUGAGCAGUCCCUGCGUUGGCCACCAAGUGGUAGGUGGCCAGCCCUACCUCCAAGUUGCACUGUUUACUUAUUCAUCUUUCAUGGUAAAGCCUCCAGUUGCCUAUUAUGAAAUCAGCAAUAAUCAUGUGUCCCCUGUCUGGGUCCCUGAAAAGAUGGAAAGAGGCAGAUCAGGCUGGUGCUCUGAGAAUGACAGACAUCAAACAAGAAUGAAAAGUGUCACCCUCCUUGGACUUAUUCAGUAACUCAUGCCCUUGAGCAAAGGAGGAUUUUCUAUCAAAGGACAUGGAUUUCUGUGUCUUUCUCUUGAGAUAACAUUGCUGGGUGACCACAGAAAGCUGGCUCUGGAAGCACAGAAGCUGCCUUUCCUUGAGUAAUAAUGUCUCUUCAAAGGGAGCUGGAGCAUGAGUAGUGUACAUGCCUCAGAUUUCAGUGAAAAGUUCAGAGGAGGCCUGAGAAGAAGGUCCUGGGAAUGAAUCAUCUAGAUGACUCAACCUUGCAAAGCCAUCCACCUCAUUGUGGAUAUCAUUCAAUACAUUUGGUGCUCCAUCAUCCUAUUUCCAUGGCUAUUUCCUCACAUUUUUCAAAGUCUGUUUCUUGAGCCCUGACUGUGUCAAAUAGCAUGCCCUGUUAUUCUUGGGCUUCCCUCUCUGUUCUAGUAUUCAGGGAGAUUUCAGAGGCUGGGGUAAAUCUCAGACCAAGAAGACGCAAUGGUUUUGAGGUAGAGAUCCUAGGAAUAUAGAAUUCUGAGCUAUGCAGUGGUCCUUUGCUUUCAGGAAAUCAAGUUUGAUAGUAUCACCUGAAGCAUACUUACAUUAUCCACAAAUGACAGCUCCUUACUUGAGCAGUUAAAUUGUGGCAAGUCUUAACACACAGAUUCCUCUUAAAUGCCACCUAAUCCCUGCCUGGCUUCAAGCCUCUGGCUUCCCUUGGAGAGGGGCAGAGUCUCUCUGUGUGAGAGAUUCUUCAUUUCUGCUUUCUGCCCUGUCAGUUUCUACUUACUUGCUCUUCCACCUUGUCCACAAGGCUUAUCUAGCGGCUGUUUACCUCUGAGCAGAGAAAAUGGAAGUCAGCAGAGACAAGGUUGAAAUUUCUCAGGAAGGAUUUUUUUUUUCCACUUUAUCGUGCAGCAAGAGUAAAGCCUUUUUUUCGGUGAUUCUUUCCUCCACAAUGGCCAUUGGCUGCCCUCUGUCACACACAGGUGUGACUCCCUUGUUAUUAACUGUCAGGUGGGAAUUUCUAGGGAAGAAGGAGAGUGCUUUGUUAACCUCUUAACAUCUCCCCAAAUUGCAUCAUAUUCUCUCCCUUUCCCCUCCCAGUUACCUUUUCUAUUUUUGAUUUCCCCUUUUUCAGUCUGAUUUGGGGAUUUCAGUUCCCACUAACUUUGUAUAAUAUCCUCCUAUCUCUGAAAGAACAAGUUCCAUCUCCAUUUUCCAGGAGAGUUUUUUUCCUUGCAGUAAGAGCACCCCAUCAUCUCUCCAUUUCUACCUCCCCAUCCCAG
This 3089-nucleotide long non-coding RNA is filed under the name Homo sapiens (human). RNAcentral describes it as "HSALNT0217122". Lineage: Eukaryota; Metazoa; Chordata; Mammalia; Primates; Hominidae. The record is from RNAcentral.